RNAcentral lists this ribosomal RNA (465 nucleotides) under uncultured bacterium. RNAcentral's name for it is "partial 16S ribosomal RNA". It matches the Rfam family "Bacterial small subunit ribosomal RNA", at positions 28 to 507 of the family's 1533-position model. The record is from RNAcentral.
GACGAACGCUGGCGGCGUGCUUAACACAUGCAAGUCGAACGGAAAGGCCCCUUUUGGGGUACUCGAGUGGCGAACGGGUGGGUAACACGUGAGUAACCUGCCCUUGACUUCGGGAGAACUUCAGGAAACUGGGGCUAAUACCGGAUAGGAAUCCUUGCUGCAUGGUGGGGGUUGGACAGCUUGGUCGGUUUGGGAUGGACUCGCGGCUUGUCAGUUUGUUGGUGGGGGAGUGGCUUGCCAAGGCUUUGACGGGGAGCCGGCCUGAGAGGGGGACCGGCCAACUUGGGACUGAGAAACGGGCCAGGCUCCUACGGGAGGCAGGAGGGGGGAAUAUUUGCCCAUGGGCGGAAGCCUGAUGCAGCAACGCCGCGUGCGGGAUGACGGCCUUCCGGUUGUAAACCGCCUUCAGCAGGGGAGAAGCUUGUGGUGACGGUACCUGCAGAAGAAGCACCGGCUAACUACGUG